AUAAUAAUUAGUCUUUUAAAUGAAGGCUGGAAUGAAUGAUUGGACGAAGUAAAUUCUGUCUCAUUUAAAUUAAAAUUUAAAUUUAAUUUUUUAGUUAAAAAGCUUAAAUAUUAUUAUAGGACGAGAAGACCCUAUAGAGCUUUAUAAUAUAUGAAUAAUAAACUUUAAUUUUAAUUUAUUAUUUAAAAUAUUAUUUUGUUGGGGCGACAGGAAAAUUUAUAAAACUUUUUUAAUUUUAUUACAUUAAUUUAUGAAUUUUUGAUCCUAAAUUUUAGAUUAUUAGAUUAAGUUACCUUAGGGAUAACAGCGUUAUUUUUUUUUAGAGUUCUUAUUAAUAAAAAAGAUUGC
Molecule: ribosomal RNA, 348 nt
Filed under: Arge cyanocrocea
Lineage: Eukaryota; Metazoa; Arthropoda; Insecta; Hymenoptera; Argidae
Description: partial 16S ribosomal RNA
Source: RNAcentral